RNAcentral lists this ribosomal RNA (483 nucleotides) under uncultured bacterium. Its description in RNAcentral is "partial 16S ribosomal RNA". It matches the Rfam family "Bacterial small subunit ribosomal RNA", at positions 28 to 507 of the family's 1533-position model. The record is from RNAcentral.
GACGAACGCUGGCGGCGUGCUUAACACAUGCAAGUCGAACGCUGAAGCUCAGCUUUUGUUGGGUGGAUGAGUGGCGAACGGGUGAGUAACACGUGAGUAACCUGCCCCCUUCUUUGGGAUAACGCCCGGAAACGGGUGCUAAUACUGGAUAUUCACUGGUCUUCGCAUGGGGGUUGGUGGAAAGGGUUUUUCUGGUGGGGGAUGGGCUCGCGGCCUAUCAGCUUGUUGGUGGGGUGAUGGCCUACCAAGGCUUUGACGGGUAGCCGGCCUGAGAGGGUGACCGGGCACAUUGGGACUGAGAUACGGCCCAGACUCGUACGGGGGGCAGCAGUGGGGAAUAUUGCACAAUGGGCGCAAGCCUGAUGCAGCGACGCCGCGUGAGGGAUGGAGGCCUUCGGGUUGUGAACCUCUUUCGCUAAUGGUCAAGCCGCAACAAUGGUUGUGGUGAGGGUAGUGGGUAAAGAAGCGCCGGCUAACUACGUG